Molecule: long non-coding RNA, 772 nt
Filed under: Equus caballus (horse)
Lineage: Eukaryota; Metazoa; Chordata; Mammalia; Perissodactyla; Equidae
Description: lncRNA (ENSECAG00000057333.1)
Source: RNAcentral
GGAUUGCUUUGGAAACACAAAUAGGGUUGGUUUAGUGCUCUGCAAAUGUCCCAUUUUUUAAACAUUCUUUCUGGAAUAAUAUGGAAAGAAAUUAUACAUUAUACCAAGACAAGCUAUUUUAGAUUUCAACUAUAUUAUUUUUGGUUUUGAUUUUUAGGAUCAACUUCAGUACCUACAACAGUACCUUCUGUGCCCACUGACCAAAAGCAGCCCCUACCCACAAUGAACACAGCACCAGCCCAUCUGCCAAAGGACCUCAGAAGAACCACAGCAGUCCAUCCUUCUGUAAAAGGCCCACCAGCCACAGAUCUGAUAGCAGAUCCUGAAGGAACCCUGUGAUCCGGAUCUAGCCCCACUCUACCACUGGUCAGGAGUCAGUCCUGCCUGCACAGGGACCCAAGAGAAGCCACGCCCAUCUGUACUGCCAGUAACAGGCUUGCUGACCUCAGUCCGGACUGUGGAUCCUGAAGCAGUCCUGUGGCCCAGAUGAAGCCCUGCUCUCAGUCUUCCCUUUCCAGAGACCCAGUAACUCCCAUUGAUGCCCUGGUAUCAAGCUUGCCACCCGCAGUUCCACUUGUGGACCCUGAAGUCACUCCCAGCUGUGGACUCUGAAACAGCCCUGAGACUCAGUUCCAGCCCCAUUCUGCCACAGUCCAGGGGAAGACCUGCCCAACCAGAGAACCUACAGGUGACACAUCCACCCAAACCCUUGUUGCAGGCCAGUUGACCUUGGUCCUGACUACGGACCCUGAAGCAGCCCUGUGGCCUAGCC